RNAcentral lists this ribosomal RNA (333 nucleotides) under uncultured eukaryote. Its description in RNAcentral is "partial 18S ribosomal RNA". It matches the Rfam family "Eukaryotic small subunit ribosomal RNA", at positions 1470 to 1796 of the family's 1831-position model. The record is from RNAcentral.
CCCUUAGAUGUUCUGGGCUGCACGCGCGCUACACUGAUGCAUUCAACGAGUAUCGUGCCUUACUUGGAAAAGUUUGGUAAUCUGAGGAUAAUGUGCAUCGUGAUGGGAAUAGAGUUUUGCAACUAUUAGUCUUGAACGAGGAAUUCCUCGUAAGCAUGAGUCAUCAGCUUGUGCUGAUUACGUCCCUGCCCUUUGUACACACCGCCCGUCGCUCCUACCGAUUGAAUGGUCCGGUGAAAAUUUCGGAUACCGGCGUUGCUGGCGGUUCGCCGCCGGCGACGCUGGUAGAAGAUCUUUAAACCUUAUCAUUUAGAGGAAGGAGAAGUCGUANCA